ACAAAGGCCAUGAAGGAGAAAAAGGAUAUGCACAGCCUGUACAGAGAGCCGGCGGCAGGUGUGAGCCGGACAGAGGGCAUAUCGUAUAACUCGCUCCUGAGCUGCAGCCUGAAGGUUUAGUAGGGUGUGCCGGGCAGUGCCCGUUAAAGCAUAAAGUCGUGUCAGCGACUUAGUGAGGCCGUCGUUGUGAGGCGAUGGCGAAGUUGGGUGGUAUCACGGAAGCUAACCCCUUUCGUCCCGUAA
This 243-nucleotide non-coding RNA is filed under the name Mahella australiensis. RNAcentral's name for it is "T-box sequence". It matches the Rfam family "T-box leader". From Rfam's summary of the family: Uncharged tRNA acts as the effector for transcription antitermination of genes in the T-box leader family. The record is from RNAcentral. Lineage: Bacteria; Bacillati; Bacillota; Clostridia; Mahellales; Mahellaceae.